GGCAGGUCCGAAGGUAGUGCAUAAUUCAGUUGAUUGUUCACAGUCAGUUAUAGAUUGAUCUCUUUGUUUUACCCCUUCUCCCCUUCUCACUACUGCACUUGAUUAGUCUUAC
This 112-nucleotide Y RNA is filed under the name Saimiri boliviensis boliviensis (Bolivian squirrel monkey). RNAcentral's name for it is "Y RNA (ENSSBOG00000001923.1)". It matches the Rfam family "Y RNA". From Rfam's summary of the family: Y RNAs are components of the Ro ribonucleoprotein particle (Ro RNP), in association with Ro60 and La proteins. Lineage: Eukaryota; Metazoa; Chordata; Mammalia; Primates; Cebidae. The record is from Rfam by way of RNAcentral.